GGGCCCGUAGCUCAGCCCGGUUAGAGCGCCAGGCUCAUAACCUGUUGGUCGGGUGUUCAAAUCGCCCCGGGCCCA
RNAcentral lists this transfer RNA (75 nucleotides) under Candidatus Bathyarchaeota archaeon. Its description in RNAcentral is "tRNA-Ile". It matches the Rfam family "tRNA". Rfam says of the family: Transfer RNA (tRNA) molecules are approximately 80 nucleotides in length. Their secondary structure includes four short double-helical elements and three loops (D, anti-codon, and T loops). Further hydrogen bonds mediate the characteristic L-shaped molecular structure. tRNAs have two regions of fundamental functional importance: the anti-codon, which is responsible for specific mRNA codon recognition, and the 3' end, to which the tRNAs corresponding amino acid is attached (by aminoacyl-tRNA synthetases). tRNAs cope with the degeneracy of the genetic code in two manners: having more than one tRNA (with a specific anti-codon) for a particular amino acid; and 'wobble' base-pairing, i.e. permitting non-standard base-pairing at the 3rd anti-codon position. The record is from RNAcentral. RNAcentral also lists the same sequence under 3 other names. Lineage: Archaea; Thermoproteati; Candidatus Bathyarchaeota.